CAGUCGCCGCGGUAACACGGAGGGAGCUAGCGUUGUUCGGAAUUACUGGGCGUAAAGCGCACGUAGGCGGUUAUUCAAGUCAGAGGUGAAAGCCCGGGGCUCAACCCCGGAACUGCCUUUGAAACUAGAUGACUGGAAUCUUGGAGAGGUCAGUGGAAUUCCGAGUGUAGAGGUGAAAUUCGUAGAUAUUCGGAAGAACACCAGUGGCGAAGGCGACUGACUGGACAAGUAUUGACGCUGAGGUGCGAAAGCGUGGGGAGCAAACAGGAUUAGAUACCCCUGUAGUCCCUGUCUCUUAUAC
RNAcentral lists this ribosomal RNA (301 nucleotides) under uncultured bacterium. RNAcentral's name for it is "partial 16S ribosomal RNA". It matches the Rfam family "Bacterial small subunit ribosomal RNA", at positions 509 to 807 of the family's 1533-position model. The record is from RNAcentral.